CGACAAUGAAGUCGGGACGGAAAAUGAGCCCUCAGCCUACAUUCUAGUACCUUUCAACGAUCCAGAUUUUGGACCGAUGACAAAGACUACGGACCCAAAGGUCUUCAAGAAUGUCAUCAAUUCACUAUCGGCAGCCGGUGGAGGGGAUGAGGAGGAACUGAGUCUUUCAGGGCUUCAGCUGGCCUUGACGAGGGCGCCGCAAAAUUCUGAGGUGUUCCUCUUCACGGAUGGACCAGCUAAAGACAAACACCUGAAAAGCACAGUGAUCGCGCUCAUAGAGCGGACGCAAACAGUGGUGAAUUUCAUGAUUUCCGGCACAACAGUGGUCAAUCGUAGGAAGAGGAGUAAGGACAACCAGAACCUUGACCGGAUCGCGGAAUCGGAUGCUCAGCUGUACAGAGACCUGGCUCAGGCUUCA
Molecule: long non-coding RNA, 418 nt
Organism: Gasterosteus aculeatus aculeatus (three-spined stickleback)
Lineage: Eukaryota; Metazoa; Chordata; Actinopteri; Perciformes; Gasterosteidae
Source: Ensembl